This is a non-coding RNA of Ictidomys tridecemlineatus (thirteen-lined ground squirrel), 842 nucleotides long. Lineage: Eukaryota; Metazoa; Chordata; Mammalia; Rodentia; Sciuridae. The record is from RefSeq and is a predicted model, not a curated record.
GAAGGCCUCAUGGGACAAGCAUUCGGGCACCCGGAACAGAGAUGGUGCUGCCCUGAGGCAGGAACACGCCCAGUGGCUGAGAAACCCGAAAGGAGGCCACAGAGGCUGGAGCCAGGAGAGACAGGGACACUGGAAGGAAAUGAGGUAAGGACCUCAGGAGCACCGGGGGCAGCCAUGCUCUGCCCAGCCCCAAGAGGGCGCCAAUCACACAGACCAUGACAACCGCUGCCCUGAAGCUGUGACACACAGAGAGGUCGCGAGUUCUACUUAAAAGAAAAAAAUCAGCUCUGUCUCUCUUGCUGUCACAUUUCAUGGGCCACCAAGGCUGCUGCCGCCCAGGGCGCCUCCCCAGCCCUGGCGAGUCCCCGACGGCCCGGCCCAGGGCAGCUGCCGGUGACUCAGGCGGGAAGAGGAUUCUCUGGAAGUUCCCGGUGAGAAAGGGAAUCUGAGCUCUGUGCGCAGGGCCCGGGAGGAGCCCGGGUGACGCUGGCUUGUGUCAGCGCACCCCUGGGGGCAGCGGGCACCUCGGUGUGCCCUCUCCUGCCCGGGCCUGCGGAGGGCGGGGCCUCCACACCCUGCACCGAGGCUGGCAGAUGGAGGCUGGUGGAUCGAGGCUGGCGGAUGGAGGCCGUGCAUCUGGGAGGAGGCCGCCCUGGGCUCGGGAUAAACAGGGCAGGACCUGAGGAGCCAGCGCCCGGCUCCAGGACUGUCCCUGAGCUCCCUGCUCCAGGUGGUCACCCCAGCCCGGCCACAGGAGGCUCAGGGCAGAGAAGCAGCACAGGGAGGGGCUGGUUCAGUGGCUGCUGUCCCCUGAGCCUGGCCACAUCGUCCCCAUCUUCUGG